CUAAUACAUGCAGUCGACGCUUCUUUCCUCCCGUGCUUGCACUCAAUUGGAAAGAGGAGUGGCGGACGGGUGAGUAACACGUGGGUAACCUACCCAUCAGAGGGGGAUAACACUUGGAAACAGGUGCUAAUACCGCAUAACAGUUUAUGCCGCAUGGCAUAAGAGUGAAAGGCGCUUUCGGGUGUCGCUGAUGGAUGGACCCGCGGUGCAUUAGCUAGUUGGUGAGGUAACGGCUCACCAAGGCCACGAUGCAUAGCCGACCUGAGAGGGUGAUCGGCCACACUGGGACUGAGACACGGCCCAGACUCCUACGGGAGGCAGCAGUAGGGAAUCUUCGGCAAUGGACGAAAGUCUGACCGAGCAACGCCGCGUGAGUGAAGAAGGUUUUCGGAUCGUAAAACUCUGUUGUAGAGAAGAACAAGCGUAGUAACUGAACGUCCCUGACGGUCUAAC
RNAcentral lists this ribosomal RNA (453 nucleotides) under Enterococcus faecalis. Its description in RNAcentral is "bacterial SSU rRNA". It matches the Rfam family "Bacterial small subunit ribosomal RNA", at positions 48 to 483 of the family's 1533-position model. Lineage: Bacteria; Bacillati; Bacillota; Bacilli; Lactobacillales; Enterococcaceae. The record is from RNAcentral.